GACGAACGCUGGCGGCGUGCUUAACACAUGCAAGUCGAACGGUAAGGCCCUUCGGGGUACACGAGUGGCGAACGGGUGAGUAACACGUGGGUGAUCUGCCCUGCACUUCGGGAUAGGCCUGGGAAACUGGGUCUAAUACCGGAUAGGACCACUGCCUGCAUGGGUGGUGGUGGAAAGCUUUUGCGGUGUGGGAUGGGCCCGCGGCCUAUCAGCUUGUUGGUGGGGUGAUGGCCUACCAAGGCGAAGACGGGUAGCCGGCCUGAGAGGGUGACCGGCCACACUGGGACUGAGAUACGGCCCAGACUCCUACGGGAGGCGGCAGUGGGGAAUAUUGCACAAUGGGCGCAAGCCUGAUGCAGCGACGCCGCGUGAGGGAUGACGGCCUUCGGGUUGUAAACCUCUUUCAGCUAUGACGAAGCGCAAGUGACGGUAGUAGCAGAAGAAGGACCGGCCAACUACGUGCCAGCCGCCGCAGUAA
This 478-nucleotide ribosomal RNA is filed under the name uncultured bacterium. RNAcentral's name for it is "partial 16S ribosomal RNA". It matches the Rfam family "Bacterial small subunit ribosomal RNA", at positions 28 to 523 of the family's 1533-position model. The record is from RNAcentral.